AUUGAACGCUGGCGGCAGGCCUAACACAUGCAAGUCGAACGAGUGGCGGACGUGUGAGUAAUGUCUGGGAAACUGCCUGAUGGAGGGGGCUACCUACUGGAAACGGUAGCUAAUACCGCAUACCAUCGGAUGUGCCCCUAUGGGAUUAGCUAGUAGGUGGGGUAACGGCUCACCUAGGCGACGAUCGCUAGCUGGUCUGAGAGGCGGACCAGCCAGACUGGAAAUGAGACACGGUCCAGACUCCUACGGGAGGCAGCAGUGGGGAAUAGUGCACAAUGGGCGCAAGCCUGAUGCAGCCAAGCCGCGGGUAUGAAGAAGGCCUUCGGGUUGUAAAGUACUUUCAGCGGGGAGGCGUUACCCGCAGAAGAAGCACCGGCUAACUCCGUGCCAGCAGCCGCGGUAAUAC
RNAcentral lists this ribosomal RNA (406 nucleotides) under uncultured bacterium. RNAcentral describes it as "partial 16S ribosomal RNA". It matches the Rfam family "Bacterial small subunit ribosomal RNA", at positions 30 to 526 of the family's 1533-position model. The record is from RNAcentral.